GACCCGGGGCUGAUGCACAGGUUUCUGUGCUAUUCCGACAGAACUGAAUUGGAUUGUAGGUAAUUCCUGCCCGUGGGGAGCAGUCCAAGCAGUGCAGAGGCGCAGGGCAGCAAGUAAGAACCCCUACCAGUGCCUCCCGCUCUUUCCCCAGAGGCCACCGUCACAGCAGGAGCCCCCAUGACUGCUGGGUGGAUGGAUGGAUUGGAGGGCCUGGGGCUUUGGGCUGAGCCCAGUGAGGACAGAGCGUGAGGAUGGAAACAGAGUGCUGGCAGGGACAGUGAUGACAGCCAAGUCCCCUUGACUCAGCGCUGAGACGUCUCCUCAGUCAGCACCUGAACUUAAUACCUGUCACCGUCACCAAGAGGCUCCGAGAGGCUCAGCAGGCUGCCCACGUCACCAGCCGGUGCGCGGGGCCGGGGUGUGGGGCCGCGCUGGGUCCAGUCAGACCCAGAGCGGGGCUGGGGGAGCCGGGCGGGAUGGGCGAGGGUCCCACUGCACCAAGGACCCCAGCCCCUCACCGCCCCACCCCUAGUCUCUUUGCUUACCAGCCACCCCCUCCAGCGGCAUCGGGCAAGGCCGUCCCUUCCGAGGGAUGGGAAACCCAGGCUCAGAAGGGAAGAGUGUCACCUCGGCGUGACCCCAACACUCCUGGGGACCUGCCUGCCUGCCGGCAGAGCGCGCCCUCUGGGCUGUGGGGAGCUGCCCACCCUGCUCCCUUGAGCAGCCAAGCUGCAAAGGGGAAGGCCCCUCCCCGAGGCCACUUUCCCCUUGAGGAGCCCCAGGUGGAGGGUGGGGUAGGCCCCGGCAGGUCCUGGUUUCUCUCUGACUCUGGGCUGAGGUUUCCCGCGUCCUGGGCACCCCCCACCCCGUCCCUCGAGCUGCCCGCCUGCAGAGGAGCCAGUGUCUACCCCGCAUCUCAGCAAUCAGCUCUAAACGCAUUUCCUGUGAGGCCAUGAGGCAUGAGCCCAGUGGACCUGAGGCUGUGUUUGAUCCAGAAAGAAUAAAAAAGGAA
Molecule: long non-coding RNA, 1012 nt
Organism: Aethalodelphis obliquidens (Pacific white-sided dolphin)
Lineage: Eukaryota; Metazoa; Chordata; Mammalia; Artiodactyla; Delphinidae
Exons: 3
Source: RefSeq, a predicted model, not a curated record